Molecule: ribosomal RNA, 240 nt
Filed under: uncultured bacterium
Lineage: Bacteria
Description: partial 16S ribosomal RNA
Rfam family: Bacterial small subunit ribosomal RNA
Source: RNAcentral
CGUGGGUAACCUGCCUUAUAGUGGGGGAUAGCCUUCGAAAGGAAGAUUAAUACCGCAUAAGAUUGUAGUAUCGCAUGAUAUAGCAAUUAAAGGAGCAAUCCGCUAUAAGAUGGACCCGCGUCGCAUUAGCUAGUUGGUGAGGUAAUGGCUCACCAAGGCGACGAUGCGUAGCCGACCUGAGAGGGUGAUCGGCCACAUUGGGACUGAGACACGGCCCAGACUCCUACGGGAGGCAGCAUG